Molecule: ribosomal RNA, 433 nt
Filed under: uncultured bacterium
Lineage: Bacteria
Description: partial 16S ribosomal RNA
Rfam family: Bacterial small subunit ribosomal RNA
Source: RNAcentral
AACGAACGCUGGCGGCAUGCCUAACACAUGCAAGUCGAACGAGACCUUCGGGUCUAGUGGCGCACGGGUGCGUAACGCGUGGGAACCUGCCUUUAGGUUCGGAAUAACUCAGAGAAAUUUGAGCUAAUACCGGAUGAUGUCUUCGGACCAAAGAUUUAUCGCCUUUAGAUGGGCCCGCGUUGGAUUAGCUAGUUGGUGGGGUAAAGGCCUACCAAGGCGACGAUCCAUAGCUGGUCUGAGAGGAUGAUCAGCCACACUGGGACUGAGACACGGCCCAGACUCCUACGGGAGGCAGCAGUGGGGAAUAUUGGACAAUGGGCGAAAGCCUGAUCCAGCAAUCCCGCGUGAGUGAUGAAGGCCUUAGGGUUGUAAAGCUCUUUUACCCGAGAUGAUAAUGACAGUAUCGGGAGAAUAAGCUCCGGCUAACUCCGUG